RNAcentral lists this long non-coding RNA (10218 nucleotides) under Ananas comosus (pineapple). RNAcentral describes it as "long non-coding RNA (ACOM_LNC025963)". Lineage: Eukaryota; Viridiplantae; Streptophyta; Magnoliopsida; Poales; Bromeliaceae. The record is from RNAcentral.
AAAGAUUACAAGGUGAUUACCGACUCCACGGACUCAACCUCUCUUAACCUCCUAUGAAUCUCGCGCAAUCCUCCGGGUUGUCCACGCCCUCACGUUCGAAUCCACGAACAUCUCGCACACGUCCGAAUCCACAAACGCCACUCGAAUCCACGAGCCCACGAUCCGAAUCCACGAACCGCCGUCAAUCACGCCGAAUCCACGACGCCAUCAUGAAGAACGUCAUGAGUAUGGUGAUCCUUCGCUUAGAGUAUCGAUGAAAAUCAAGGAAGAAGACUUCAAGCGAAGACUAGAUCAAAUCGACAUAUAGCGAAUGCGAAACGAUACCUCGAUUUGAUCUAAAGAGGCUAAUUUGUAGAAAAUAGGUUUAGAACGAAAUACUAGCCUCUAGGGUUCUUUAAUUGUGUAUUCUUAUGAUAGAUGAUCGAUUAGAGAACCCCUAUAGCUUAUUUAUAGACUUUAGAAUCAAAACGGAGUAGGAUUAGAAAGUUUCUUUCCGUAUUCAGCACCUUGUACCGGUACACGGGAAGCUGUCCAGGGUACAGCAUGACGGAAGAUUUUUCUACAAAGCUUCUGUACCCUGAACAGACUGCAGCUUAUUCCGGAACAAGGCUUGUACCGGUACAGCCAUGAUGGUUGUACCGGAACAACCAUCGUAAUUCCCUGCGGCAAUAGCCGUUGUCUGUACCGGUACAGAAAAACCCUUGUACCGGUACAAUAAUGCAAUUUUCGCUGAAAAUGCAUUGUUUCGAGUUUUACAAGCUCUUAAAAACUUUCUAAUCAAUUACAACUUGAAAAUUAUGAUUCUAAGAUCUAAAAUUAAGUAUGAAUCACCAUAAACAAGAUUUAAAGCUUACCUAAGUAUUGUGAUUCAAGUUUUGCGUGUUUUGCGUCCUUUCCGAUUCUUUGAAGUCUUAGAUUCUUCGAUCUUCAAUACUCCACUCCGGACUUCUUCAGGACUCCGACUCGACCCAUGAAACUUGCCAACACAUGGGACCUAACAAUCUCCCCCUUUGGCAAUUUCGUAACAAAACACACUCAAAACACAAACAUUACAUUUAAAGAAAAGACGAAGUUCAAUUGUCAUCACCAAAACAAUGAACCUAUCGCGUGUAAUCCAAAUACAAAUUAAAACUCAAAAUACAUUCAAAACUCCUAAAACAGACUCUAUGACUUAGACGCAACUAGGAGUCUUGAAGUCUUGAAAUCCUGCAAAACAUUCCACAAUAAUAUAAAGUUUUACAUUCAAUUGAUUCUUUUACCAUUCUCCCCCUUUGUUCAUCACUUCUCCCCUUUGUUUCGUGAACCUGUUCAUCACUUCUCCCCUUUGUUUCGUGAACCUGUUCAUCACUUCUCCCCUUUGUUCGUGAACCUGUUCAUCUCGUGUCACGCCCCGGGACCGGCGGAGGCCCUCCCGGUAGCGUGCCCAAACCCGCCAUAUGUCUACACAUAUAAGGCGUCUACAAUAAAAGCGGAAGUAAAAGCAAGAAAUAGAAUAAAUAGAAGAAGUGAAAUAACUAGCAACUAAUGAUAUCAGAGCGAGUAAAGUUCUAGCAUCUACACCAAAGUAAAUAAGUAAAGCUAGACAAUAAAAAAAAUCAUAAGUAGUACAAUAACUGUCUCUAGUACAAAAAUGGUGGUCUCUAGUACACUGGUAAAACCCUCAACCUCUCGCCAAAAAGAAACACAUCGAGAGGUAGACCACCUAAACUCGUCUCUCGCUGAAGGGCUAACUCGAAGCGACGCCCUUACCACGGUCCCUAGCCUCUCCCGGCGUGGAAGGCUCUGAAAGAAAACAUAAAACAGAGGGCGUGAGAACUAUAAUUUAUAGUUCCCAGUGGGCAAUUACUGACCUCAGCUCAUUGCACCACUAGGCCCAAAAGAAAAGGGUAAGUCAAAAGCGAUAGUCAUAACGAGUAAUUGCAACUAUGAAAGCAUAAUGAAAUACUAAAAUAUUACUUGCGACUAAACAUGGCAUUUAUGUAAUGCACGAUUAUCCUGUCAUGAAGAGUAUGUCUCUACUUAGCCAUAAAUAAUGUCAUGGUUUGCUUAAAUGAAAUUAUGAGGAUUAUCCCUUAUCAUAGCAACAUUGUUUAUAUGAAUGCAAUUAAACACUGCCUCCUAGCAUACUACAUGUAUGUAUGUAUAUCCAAAGUCCAAACCUACGCUAGAAGCAAGUCCGAGUAAUCCAACUACCACUCUCUAUUUAGUAGUGAUUAUAACAAACUCAUCCCGUGUCGAUUUCCAUUUCCAAUUAGGGACCUACCAAGGGUAGUCCAGCUUGUGCCGCCUAAGUGCCUGUGGUAGCCCAACAUCCCUACUCUUGGAAUGUGUCUGUCCCACUCGACCCCGUAGGCUUCUCAAUACCGCACGAGCGAACAUAAGUCGCGUAGGCUAACUCCGGAGUGCCGGCUUGUAGGGAGCGACCCUCACAAGCAUGUGCGAAUGAGCACAAAUGGCAAGCAAGCAUAGUCCAAGUCUCAAGUAUCCAAUCCUCAUGUCUCUAAGUGAUGUCCCAACACUCACUUGCUUAGUGCCUCUUUAUGACACUUAAGCAUCACAACAGAUCAAGCCCAAAUCUUGUUCUAUGUUUCCAUUAAAACAUCAAUACCAAUGAUUACCAUGACCCGGGCCCCAAUGCCACUUUAUGACAUUGUCCCAAUUCUCAAAUAGUCCAAGUUCCCAAGCCCUCUCUAGGCUCCUAACAUUCCUAAUGUCACAUUUGGCAUAUAGGUUAAAUGCAUGAAAGCAAGGUUUAUUUACAUAAUAAGGAUCAUGGUUCCCAAUUAUAAAUAGAAUGCUAAGUCUCACAUGCAUGCACUCUACCACAUAGGGGUCUAAAAUUUCACUAUACAUAAUAUAUGCAUGUUAAGCAUUCUAAAAUUCAUAUUAAAUACAUUUAACAAGGAAAUGCAUGAAUUUCUAUUUUACGAAACAUAUUUGCCAAAUAUGAGCAUUUCUCAUAUCAUAGGCUAGGUCAAACCCACCGAACCGUCGCGUGCUCCUUCGAUUCGCCGAACGGAGUUGUCCACGAGUCUCAAAGUACCCUAAAAGUGAUCAGCGAAGAGAUACGAGGGCAUUACGACCAACCAUAAGAUCAAACAUUAACCUAGAAGCAAAAAGGGCCAAAACUCACCUCAAGAGAAGAAAUCUCUUCCAAAGCUCCAAAAGAGAGCUAGAACCCUUCCAAUCCAAGCCCAAGGAAGGUUCUAAACCAAUUAAUCUAGCCUCAAAAGCCCUAGAUCAAAAAGCCCCAAAAUCAACCCUAAAUCUCAUUUCUAGGGUUCCAUCUACAAAAACUAUCAAAACAAGAUCUAGAGGAGGGAAAUGAGCAACAAACCUCCUUAGAAGCUCCAAUCCUAGCUCCAAGGGUGAAGAUCUCCUCCUAUGCAAGCUCCAAGUCCAAGCCUUCAAGCACCAACAAGGUGGGAAGAGGAAGAGAGGCAAAAGAAUGCUCCAAGCCCAAGCUAGAUCCUCCUCUUCUUCUCCUCCUUCCUCUCCUUCUCCUUCUUCUUCUUCUUCUCUAUCAAGGGUGUAGAGAGGGUUGAGAGAAGAGAAAUGGGGAGAGGAGAGAGUGGAUGGGUCAUAUAGACCCUCUAAUGUAACAAAAUCCCAAGAGGCCCCUCAAAAAAACAGUAUUACAUCAGCCCGGUCUGGGCAGUUUUCGCCCAGAGGGACCGGUCUCUCCCCAGCAGGGACCGGUCUCUCGCUGCGAACCCGAAAAACCAACGUUCGGGAACCGGUCUCUCCCUGCGCGGGACCGGUUUCUCACUGCGUAGACGCGCUCGGGGACCGGUCUCGCCCGCCAGGGACCGGUUGCCUCAGGGCUGCCGCAGCAUUGCUCACUGGGGGACCGGUCUCUCCUUUUAGGGACCGGUCCCCGAGAGUAAAAACUCUCAGGACUGUCCAGAAUUUCAGUUUUCGAACUUUUUAGGUCGAAAAGCAUUCUACAACCCUCCCCCAAGUGUGAAAAAGCUCGAAAUACAUCCAAACACUCGAACCGUGCAAUUUGCAAAGGUCCAGUGCGUCACAUCUCGUGAUCUCCCCAUUUUUGUCAGAAAAUUGCCAAAUAACUUAAAAAGAGAAAAUCCACUAGAAAGAAACAUCAAAGUUAAAAUAUAAAUACAGGCCUAAGAGAGAAAGCAAUAAAUACAAGUAGAAGUGUAAACUAAACAUGAAAACAUAAACCUAAGAUAAAAUAUGAAGCUCUAGAAAACAUCACUCUGUGUCCUCGUCGUUGUCAUCCUCUGCGCCAGCACCAGAUCCAGAUGCUCCAGCGUCUAACGCACCUGUCGCAGGAGGAAUGAGUGGAUGUCGGGAAGAUGACCGCUGAUACGAGGCAUAAGAUGGAGUAGGCUCCCAAAUAUCAUCAUGUCGACACCCCAUCUUAUCCAUCAUUCUUUUGAUACUUAAUUCAAACUUCUUGAUGCUUGACUCAACUUUUCUCCCAAUAUUGUUCACCUUCUUCUUUAAUUUUCGCAAAUCCUCUUUAACUGAUUCCAACGUCGUCGCUCCCCCCGAACUAGAUGAAGUAUCAUAACUCCCUCGGGAUGGAGGCGGAGGAGCAGAGCUAGAAGCUGCUCUCGGUGGAGGUGCUGGGCUAGAUGCUUCAGGAGGUGGCCCCUUGGUCUGAUGGAAUGACUUGAGAGUGCUAACAGACUUAGCCCAAGUCACUGAAUCAAUAGGCCCAAGGCCAACAUCAUACUUGUCACAUGAUGUAUCUACUCCAUUUGCUUGUAGAAUCCUCGUAAUCAGAACAGGGAAUGGAAGUAGAUCCCGUCGAGUGGCACCCUGAAUCACGUGUAUCAUCCUUUGCCAGAUCAGAAACGGGAUGUUGAUGUUCAACCCACAAGCCUGCUCGGGAUGACCAAGAAGAUAUAGCAAUACUAAUCUCUCCCAACGGAUCCUCUUCGUGCCGAUGGUUGGUUGAACAUUGUAGCUCAUGACCAAAGAUAGCAAGUGGUACUCAGGUAAUAAAUCCUUGGAUUCUAUGUAACCAUGAGUCAUGUGAACACUGGCCUUGCAUAUAGCUCCAAGAACGAUAUCCAUGUGAAUUGACGAUUGGAAUCCUCCUGAUGUAUAGAGAAGACCUGUAGUAUCCACACGCAUUCCCAAGAUCUCUCCAAUAGUAUAGGGGGUAACUGGGACUCUCUUUCUACGCACAACAAUCUCGAAAAGAAAAGUGCCAGUCUCCUCGUCUUCAGCAAGUACCUUUCCAUUCAUAUAGAACUCCCAAAUGAGUUCCACACAGAAGGGAGCCUUGGCAGGGACCCGUCCAACUGGCCAAUAGGUGCGCGUUGUAGCAGUCGUCCAAAAUCAGGAACAUCCCGAAUCAGGUCAUUGAAGUUCACGAAGCGUUCAGCUAUGCACGACUUCGACAUAUAUAACCUUUGUCGUGCUGGAGGGACAUCCGCAGCUUGUUUUGUACGUCCCUCACGCGUACGAGAACCACCGCCAUGAGAUGAUUCGCCCACAACACCCUUUCCUUUAGCAGCUCGAGUCGCCGCUUCUUCUGUUUCUUCCUGUGAGCUUGCUUGAUACUCCGGAUCUGAACCGGACUCUCCUGUAGCAGCAUGGGCUCUCUUUGAGGUCCCUCGGCGACCUCGAUCACGUCUACGACCGCUGCCCGCGGCCAUAAGCACCGUCAACACCAACACGAGGAAAAACGCCAUUUUCCUACACCAAAAACAGCAUACAUGGGUAAAAUUUUGAAAACAUUUGUAAAAAUUAGCAAGUAAAUUUCAAAUAUCCUUAGAAUGCAUACUAAUGCUAUUUCAAACCAAUUCAUGCAAAAAAAAUUCAGCAAAAAUCGAAAUUUUUUGAAAAAAUCCCGAAACUACAUGCAUAUUAAAGCAUAAAACUUAGAUCAGCAAAAAAUAACUUGUUUUGAUGUUGUUCAAGUGUUCUACAAGCAAGGUAAUGCCCUAAAACACUGAUCUAUAGCAAAAAAUUGCAUAAAAAACGAAUCAAAUUAGAGAUCAAACUAUAUCUCGAAAUUUUCUGAAAAAUAGGCAAAAACGAGGUUGAAUCAUGAAGUCCGAGCUAAAUACUUACAAAUCUAAGGGGGAAAGCAGUAGAUCUGGAGGAGGAAGAUCCCAGGAGCUCUCAUGACAAGAAAAAUGGUGAUUUAGUUUCGAUUUGAGGCAAAAACGAAGCGCUAUACCCGGUUAUAAGCCGCUCGGGUAUAGACCUUGUAUCGGUACACGGGUCUUGUACCGGUACAAGGACCAAAAUAUGAAAAAAAAAAUUUGAAAAUUAUGGUUUAAAAAUCCAUCAAAUUUAAAUUAAUUUCAUACAAAUUAAGGAUUUUACUCUAAAAAAUCAUAAAAAUGAGAAUAAAUUAUUAUAAGAUUUCAAAAUACAUUUAAACAUCAAAAUUUCAUUAUCAAAAUUGAUCUCAAGUUUCAAAAUCAUCAAGAUGUAACGGUUUACGAAAAAUGAUUUUUUAGAAAUUCGGCAAAAUUGACACCAAUUUGUCGCAAUCCGUUCAAAAUAGAGAUUUAACUAAUAUGAUACCGGGGGUGGCUCUUUGAGCAUCUUUUUAUUUUUUUUUUCAAACUAACACCUUAUAACUCCGAAAAUUCUAAAAUAUUCAAUAUUUUUCAACCUUUUUCGGUUAAUCAAUUCAAUCUUCAUGUGGUAGCUUCACACACUUGCCGGAUGACCGGGGUGGUAGCUCUUUUCUAUAUGUGGUAGUAGUUUUCACACUCCUUUUGGAUGUAACUCUUUCCACAUCUUUUUAAACAUAGGAGUUUUUUUCCUUUUUCUUUAAUAAUUUCAAACUCCCCCUAAAUUAGACAAUCUCACAAUUGAAAAUAUUUUGAGAAAUUUUAGUCUAUUAGCGAAUAUCCAUCUAUCAUAUUCAAACACACAACCAAGAUAGAUUAAUCACCAAGAGAUCAAAUUUGAUUUCAAAAUUUUGAUAAAUAUAUGUAUUACGAAAUCAUAUAUUGAAUUAUCAUUAAAAUAAUAAAAAAUAGAGUAAAAACGAUAAUUAAUAUAAAUUUAACUUAAUAUGAUUGUAAAGUUAAACACCGUUUAAACAACUUUGGAAAAUUUCUCUCCUUAAAAUAAUUAUUCUCAAUCAUCUCCUCUCUCAAAGAAAAAAUUUUUAAAUUCUUAAACACCUUUCCUCAAAUCAAUUUUAAAAACAACUUUCACCCACGAAAAUCAUCAUGUAAUGCAAUGAAUAAAAAUAUGCAACAAACAUCUAUCAAAGCACUACACAAUAAAUUAAAAACAACUAAGACGAGAACCAAGGAAAGAUAUCACCUUUCCGGAUCCAAACUUGUCGGAUCUUUGGUUUUCUCGACUUGUCGACGUUUGGUGUCAUUUGCUUAGAUUUUAGAUCAACCGUUGGUGUUUUCUUCGCUUGAGGCCUUGUUUGAAUUUGUCGUUUUGCAUUAGACAUCCGGUUUGCUUGUGGCUUAGGUAGAACUUGGCGUUGCGGUUUAGAAUUCCGAUUCUUUUGAGGUACUCGACUCACUUGAUUUUUCUUUUGAUUCCACGGGGGAAGUCGAGUUGUAGAUGAUGCCGCUUGAGCUUUAGGAGUUGUCGAAUGAUGUGAAGACCUUGCCGAUUGAUUCAUCUUUUCUUUGUUUGGGCAAUUCCUUUUCAUGUAUCCUUUGACGCCACAUCGAUGACAUGCCUUGUCUUUCAAAGUUGUUGAGACUUUCAAAAUUGAUUUAGAACUCUUCUCCACAAGAACUCUUNCCAAGGAAAGAUAUCACCUUUCCGGAUCCAAACUUGUCGGAUCUUUGGUUUUCUCGACUUGUCGACGUUUGGUGUCAUUUGCUUAGAUUUUAGAUCAACCGUUGGUGUUUUCUUCGCUUGAGGCCUUGUUUGAAUUUGUCGUUUUGCAUUAGACAUCCGGUUUGCUUGUGGCUUAGGUAGAACUUGGCGUUGCGGUUUAGAAUUCCGAUUCUUUUGAGGUACUCGACUCACUUGAUUUUUCUUUUGAUUCCACGGGGGAAGUCGAGUUGUAGAUGAUGCCGCUUGAGCUUUAGGAGUUGUCGAAUGAUGUGAAGACCUUGCCGAUUGAUUCAUCUUUUCUUUGUUUGGGCAAUUCCUUUUCAUGUAUCCUUUGACGCCACAUCGAUGACAUGCCUUGUCUUUCAAAGUUGUUGAGACUUUCAAAAUUGAUUUAGAACUCUUCUCCACAAGAACUCUUUCAUAUCCGAGGCCUAACUUAUCUGUUUGACCCAACCCGAGCAUAUGGUUUAAUUUCUUCGAUCCCGAUGAGAACUUUUGUAUGUCGGAUUGAUGUUGACGAACUUGAUUGGUCAAUGACUUGUUGGAUGUAUGCGAUUCCUCGAAUUGUUGUUCCAAAAAUCCAACCUUGUCUUUAUACGAUUUGAUCGUUGAUUCCGCUUCAUUAAGCUUCUCUAGAAGGUCCGAAUUAUUUUUCAAAAUUGAUUCCCUUUCCUCCUCGAGGCCUUUGUUCGUGAUCUUCAAGUUGUUGUUUUCCUCUUCGAGAUUCAACAAACGACGCCUCAACUUCUUAUUUAGUUUAGCCAUCUUCUUUGAUUCAAUAAGAAGUUGAUUGUAUGCUUCCGCUAUAUCCUCGUCGUUCGAUUCCUCCUCGCUUUCAUCGUUAUCACUCGAAGACACAUGCGAAGAAGUAGACAAAUUGGAAUUAGACAUUAUAGAGGAUAAACACACAACGUUAGACGAAGGCAAAGUAGAUUUAGCAAAUAAAGCAAGAUUUCCAUUCUUUUCUUCGUCACUUGAGCUUGAUUCACUUGAAGUUGUAUCAUCCCACGUCUUUGCUUGCAAUGCCUUCUUAGUAUACGAUUUCUUUAAAGGACAAUCCGUUGCGAUGUGACCGUAGCCUUUGCACUUGUCGCAUCGGAUCUCGCCUUCAAACACAUCCUUUUUUUUAGAAGCCUUUGCACGCUUCUUCUCGUUAGAAGAUGAAGACUUAGAAAACGUUUGUUGCUUAGAUAAUGUAGCCUUGUCAUUCUUGUGCUUGUUCCGAAAAUUUCGACGAAACUUCUUCGUUAAUAGUGCAAGUUGAUGUUCGAAAUCAGCAAGAGAAACAUCUUCAUCGAAAUUUGAAUCCUCAUCUUCUUCCUUCGUCGACUUUAAUGCAAUCCCUGUGCUUUUAGAAAAAGACUUGGAAGAAGAUUGAUUAGUAGGAAAAGUCAUCUCAUAAGUUUGUAAAGCACCUACUAAUUCUUCGACUUUUAUCUCGUCCGGAUGCUUAACCGUUUCGAUCGCGGCAACUUUUGCCCGAAAGCGUUCCGGAAGAGUACGAAGGAUCUUUCUAACCACUUUUGAAUCCGGGAUUUUCUCUCCCAAGUUAGCGCAAGUAUUGACUACGUCUUGUAGACACGUAUAGUACUCGGUAAAGGUCUCGUUUUCAUCCAUACAAAUAGAAUCAAACUUGCUUGUUAGCAUUUGCAAUUUUUGGACCUUUACUAAGCUCGUUCCUUCAUGCGUAACUUGUAGAGUAUCCCAAAUCUUCUUGGCGGCUUCACACGCCGAAACACGAGUAAACUCCGUUUAUGACAAUGCAUUAAAUAAAGCGUUUAUGCCCUUGCCAUUAAACGAAGAUGACUCGUUUUCAUCUUUGGUCCACUUGUUUCGUGGUUUAGGCGUUUCAACAUUAUCGACUUUUUCAAUGGGAUGUUUCCAUCCAAAUUCUAUGGAUUGCCAUACUCGCUCAUCGAUUGCAAUUAGAAAAGCUCUCAUGCGAACUUUCCAAUAGACAUAAUUAGUGCCGUCGAAGAGCGCAGGUCGAUUAAUGUUACCGCCUUCGGCCAUUAGAUAGCAAUAUAUCUAGAUCCCGUAUCUGAUACCAAUUGAAGGUUCUAAAAUAACCCAAGGAUCUAUCUAGAUUGUAUCUAUCACAUAGAGGGGGGUGAAUAGGUGAAAAAACCAAAAACCACAAAUCUCAAUGCGAUAAAAAUAAAUGCUGAAAAUAAAAAUCACACCGAGAUUUACGUGAGAAAACUUCAACUUGGAGAAAAACCUAUGGGACCAACACGCGAAAAAAUAAUUCACUAAGAGAAAAGAUUACAAGGUGAUUACCGACUCCAUGGACUCAACCUCUCUUAACCUUCUAUGAAUCUCGCGCAAUCCUCCGGGUUGUCCACGCCCUCACGUUCGAAUCCACGAACAUCUCGCACACGUCCGAAUCCACAAACGCCACUCGAAUCCACGAGCCCACGAUCCGAAUCCACGAACCGCCGUCAAUCACGCCGAAUCCACGACGCCAUC